UGGGGAAUAUUGGACAAUGGGCGCAAGCCUGAUCCAGCCAUGCCGCGUGAGUGACGAAGGUCUUCGGAUUGUAAAGCUCUUUUUGGCGGGGACGAUAAUGACGGUACCCGCAGAAUAAGCCCCGGCUAACUUCGUGCCAGCAGCCGCGGUAAUACGAAGGGGGCUAGCGUUGUUCGGAAUCACUGGGCGUAAAGCGCACGUAGGCGGACUUAUAAGUCAGGGGUGAAAUCCUGGGGCUCAACCCCAGAACUGCCUUUGAUACUGGCUGUCUCGAGGUCGAGAGAGGUUGGUGGAAUUCCUAGUGUAGAGGUGAAAUUCGUAGAUAUUAGGAAGAACACCAGUGGCGAAGGCGGCCAACUGGCUCGAUACUGACGCUGAGGUGCGAAAGCGUGGGGAGCAAACAGGAUUAGAUACCCCCGUAGUCCCUGAGCGGGCUGGCAAGGCGCAU
RNAcentral lists this ribosomal RNA (448 nucleotides) under uncultured bacterium. RNAcentral's name for it is "bacterial SSU rRNA". It matches the Rfam family "Bacterial small subunit ribosomal RNA", at positions 355 to 825 of the family's 1533-position model. The record is from RNAcentral.